Molecule: ribosomal RNA, 488 nt
Filed under: Marmessoidea annulata
Lineage: Eukaryota; Metazoa; Arthropoda; Insecta; Phasmatodea; Lonchodidae
Description: partial large subunit ribosomal RNA
Source: RNAcentral
CCUGAAUUCGAAAGGGAUUGGAUUCAAAUCCUACCGAGUGUCGGGAGGUCCCUGCCAGAUGGUGCUGGUCGCCCGCAACGAUUCAUUUCGUUCGCGGUGUCGUUCCCAGCGAUCACUCGGCAUGGCGACCUAUGCCUGGCUCCGGAGGAGUGCACUUCCUCCCUAGUAGAAACGUUGCGACCCGUUGGGUGCCGGUCUAAGGCCCGGGAUGGCAGACCGUGUGUCCUGUGGGGGUUCUCACAGGCGUGCGGACUCCUGGUGACCCGGCCGGCUGCCCGACGGUAUGACCAGAGGAGUCGAUCCGCUAAAUGGGAAACACUGUGGAAUGUGUAGCGUCCGGCCUGGCGACGACGCGUGUGGGGAUUGAGGUGUAAACCGGGGGUGCCCGUGCGAAGCACGGCCCCGGCCCCACUGCGUGUUCGGCUGCUAGUGUCCUCGGACUGGAUCAGCACUCCCGUCGGCGACGCCCUCCUUCGGAUGGUCUCCCG